UGAUGUAAGUUGAAGUACUGAACGAACCCUGUCAUAUGAAGCAGAGCAGUUUAAUGUGUGUCUGAAAAGGAUGUCGUGAAUAACCUUUAGCCAAACGUCUCCAUGGGAACCUGAGGGGUGGUUAUUUCAUUCGUUGCAUCUCCAGGCAAAUGUUUUCAAGACGUAUCGAGUUCUCUUUAAAUGUAACAAGCAGUAAGUUACCUCCAAUAGAAGCUAACGGUACGACGAACUACACGCAGCAGACGACGUCCCGGUGUAUUAACGUCGAGGCCAGUAAGCUGAAUUGUUUAUUGACAGGCGUUUUGAAGGAUGACAUCAACAACAUGCUGUCCAGCUCCAUGUCAUAACAGAAAUGCGUUGACCUGGCUUCUAUGCCCAAACAUUGAUCAUGUGUCCUCUGCAUUGCAAAUUCUUGUUCACCUUGCUCAGGAGGACAAAGGUGAACUUGUCGAAAAGGUUCUUCAGCACUGCAACCCAGAAUUAUGCAUAGAUGCUCUUCGAAAACUGCUGAAGUCACCUGCCUCAUGACACAGCCAUGAAUGCGGCAUUUGCUGUUGGCCGUCUGUGUGGUAGCAAACAAGCCAAGAUCCUCAUUCUGAGAGUGGCCAAAGAGCAUCAGCUGGUUAGUCGCCUGCAGACUCUGCUGUUGAGUGGGUCAGGAGUGGAGAUGGGGCAAACAGUGUGCUUUGCUCUGAGCUGCUUAGCAAAUGAGGAAGAUGGCCAUGCUCUGCUGAUGGAAAGCACCUGUGUCCCUACAUUGCUGAAUGGUCUUUUACAGCUGUUGCAGAGCCCAGACCCAGACAGUAUCUGGUUUGCUGCUAUGUAGGUUAUCUAAUUAACUGUAGUUGGAGUGUUGUAAGUAAUGACCAUCUAAGGAUAUUAGUAACAAUAAAUACGUAGCAAGCAUAUCACGUACAAUAACACUAAAUACACUUCUCUGUUAUAAGUGAAUCUUCAUACCACAAAUAUUUAAGGCCAAUUUAAACUCACAUUCUGCCACUGCACAUGUAUAAUUAAAUAGACAGUAUUUGUAUUUGUUUAGAUCAAUAAUUUUCCACCUUUUUGACUAAAGAUUUAGUUAUGUACAAUGUCAUGCAGGUCUGGAAUGACAUGAGUCUGAGUAAAUGAUGACAGAAUGUUCAUUUUGGGGAAAACUAUUCAUAUUAAAAAUGCCAUAAAAAGAUUCACAUUCACUUUAAAAGGCUCAACCCAACCCCUCUGUCUAACAGGACAGUACGAAUACUGGUUUCCCGGCCGAGUGGAGUGGUCCCUGUCAGGAUCCAUUGCUCUCUGCAUGAGCAGUUGAAGAUUCUCUCUAUGUCACCAUCCACUGGGCUAGAGCUGCAGGAGGAGGUCAACAUGUGUCUCAGGAAACUGGAGCGUUUAUCCAAACCACAUCCAGUGAUGGUUACAAACCUCUCAUCAACGAGCUGCACUGUAUCAUGGGAAAAGUGUAGACCUGAAAGUGGCCUGGAGGUCAUAUACAGUCUCUUUCACAAGGAUGUCAUGCUGUACCAUGGCCUGUUGUGUCAGGUGACCAUACCUAUUUCUCCCAAGCAAUCUAAGGAGCCCCUUUCCCUACAGCUCAACCUGUCUACACCUGAUGGUGACAUUAGUCCUUUCAGUGAACCUGUGGUUAUUACUCCAGAGCAGCUGGACACGAGACUUUAGCCUCCACGAGAGCUCUGUGUGAUUGGCUCUACAGCUACACAGGUACGCCUGUGCUGGAUAGAACCAGAGGGAGGAGCCAAACCCAAAUCAUACCAGAUCUACUGUAAUGACACACUGGUGAAGACCACUGCUCUGCUGGGGGCUACAGUUGGCUGUUUAUCUCCUGGCACCUCCUAUCAGCUGAGUGUGAGUUCACUUGGUCCAGGGGACACAGAGAGUCCUAGAGCAGUAACUGAGGUGAGGACAGCGGAAGAUCAAGAUCAUGCUCCUUCUGCGGUCACUGUAGUUGUCCUGGGACGACAUGAACUGCAGAUAAACUGGGGAGCUCCAGUCGCUCCUUUGGGGAGACUCUUCAAAUAUGAGCUAAGUCUAAAUGGGUGUGUGGUGUACCUGGGCACAGAAAGGUCAUACACUGCUUGUCGCCUGUCUGCUAACACAGCAUACACCUGUGUUGUGACAGCUAUCACCUCCAGGGGGCGCUGCCAGAGCAGUCCGGUCACAAAGAAGACAGCACGGGAUGAAUUCCUGCACUCACAUAGGUAUCUGCACUCUCAUAGCCACCAGUCAGCCUCAAAACACUCCACUCCUUCUUCAAGCAUCCAAGUGAUAAGUGAAGUCAAAAAGAAUGACACAGUUUCUCCAGCUACACUCAAUUCUAAGGUCCAUCCCACUAUGAUCCCGCACAGAGCCCUUGACCUUAGAAAAGACAGGCACAGGCAAACAUCAGUUCCUAAAGGGAUUCAACCUUCCAGUCACACAUCUAAGGAACAUUAUGAGUACAUGUUCCGGUCCUUGACCAUAUCAUCAACCCCAGAGGAUCUCAGACACUUUAAGGCCAAGAUCAGCCCAGCCAGACCGCAGUGGAACUCAGACAGAAAAGUUCCCAUAGACAGAGAGAAACUUCCAGGCAUCAGCAAACAAAUCUCAGAGGAUGUGAGACUGCUUCAGCCUGUUUCGUUUAGUUGGUCUAAUCUGGAAUGGACCAAACAACAUCAAAACAGACCACAAAGAAAUAAAGCCAUUUUGAAGGUCCAAUGUCAGGAAAGAGGAAGACGAUAUCAAAUAUCAUCACAAACCAAACUCACGUAACAAAUUGUGGACAUCUAGGCUACCAAAAUCAGUGUUUAUAUUAAUACAUAUUUAUUUUAUUUGAAUAUAAA
Molecule: long non-coding RNA, 2831 nt
Organism: Cyprinus carpio carpio
Lineage: Eukaryota; Metazoa; Chordata; Actinopteri; Cypriniformes; Cyprinidae
Source: Ensembl